Molecule: long non-coding RNA, 637 nt
Organism: Ictalurus punctatus (channel catfish)
Lineage: Eukaryota; Metazoa; Chordata; Actinopteri; Siluriformes; Ictaluridae
Source: Ensembl
GGCAUUUCUUGAAGAAGUUCAGGGUGGAUCCGAGGUACGUUUGGAUCAUUCUCCAGUUGUAGAACGCAUCCUCUCUUCAGCUUCAGGUUUCUGAUCGAGUUUCACAUUUGCUUCCAGAAGUUGCUGAUAUUUCCUGCGACGUGCAUCAUUUCCUGCGCUACUGGCUUCCACACGAGCCCAAAACAUAAAAGCUCCACCCGCGUAACCGCGGACGAGGUGUUCUCCUCGUCGACGACGCCACGAGCCUUUUCGUUGAGUUCGAAGGUAACCGGUAUAAAGUCCGUCCAACCGGGGCAGAAAGCGCUCGUUUCCGAGACGCCUCUGGCUCGUCUACGUGUCACUGGGUCGCUGACUUUCGUGAUGAGGUCACAACUUUUGACUUUUGAGACUAGCUUCUGCUGCCAGACUGGCAGUGAAUUAAUGCAGCUGGAAACAGAAGAAGCAAGGGGAGUGGAGUGGAGGAGAACAUCCUCAUCAUCAUCAUCAUCAUCAUCAUCUUUGUGCGUUUCAUUUCACAUCUAUUACACUGAUACUCGGGCUGUGCUGGAAACACUGCCGUUCAUUCACCCAGUCCGACAUGAGCUUGGACCCCCCCCACACACACACACACAAAUACACACACAUAAAUGAAGACACA